GUCCACACUGUAAACGAUGAAUGCUAGGUGUAGGGGUAUCGACCCCUUCUGUGCCGCAGUCAACACAAUAAGCAUUCCGCCUGGGGAGUACGGCCGCAAGGUUGAAACUCAAAGGAAUAGACGGGGACCCGCACAAGCGGUGGAGCAUGUGGUUUAAUUCGACGAUACACGAAGAACCUUACCUGGACUUGACAUAGUAAGAACUUUCUAGAGAUAGAUUGGUGUCUGCUUGCAGAAACUUAUAUACAGGUGCUGCACGGCUGUCGU
RNAcentral lists this ribosomal RNA (267 nucleotides) under uncultured bacterium. Its description in RNAcentral is "partial 16S ribosomal RNA". It matches the Rfam family "Bacterial small subunit ribosomal RNA", at positions 793 to 1055 of the family's 1533-position model. The record is from RNAcentral.